CCAACCGAUGGAUAGACUGCGAGUCGUGCGUCUCUAAGCCAUGGUAGAGGCGCGGCGUACGGCUCAGUAACACGUGGUUAACCUACCCUUAGGACGGGGACAACCCCGGGAAACUGGGGCUAAUUUCUGAUAGGUGAGGAGGCCUGGAAUGGUUCUUCGCCGAAAAGGCGUUGAAACCACGCUUUUCAACGUCGCCUAAGGAUGGGGCCGCGCCCGAUCAGGUUGUUGGUGAGGUAACGGCUCACCAAGCCUAUAACCGGUACGGGCCGUGAGAGCGGGAGCCCGGAGAUGGGCACUGAGACAAGGGCCCAGGCCCUACGGGGCGCAGCAGUCGCGAAAACUCCGCAAUGCGCGAAAGCGUGACGGGGCUACCCCGAGUGCCGUCCGCUGAGGAUGGCUUUUCCCCGGUGUAAUGAGCCGGGGGAAUAAGGAGAGGGCAAGACUGGUGUCAGCCGCCGCGGUAAUACCAGCUCUCCGAGUGGUAGGGACGAUUAUUGGGCUUAAAGCGUCCGUAGCCGGCUUAGCAAGUCUCCUGUUAAAUUCAGCGACUCAAUCGUUGAGCCGCGGGAGAUACUACUAGGCUAGGAGGCGGGAGAGGUCGACGGUAUUCCCGGGGGAGGGGUGAAAUCCUAUAAUCCCGGGAGGACCACCAGUGGCGAAGGCUGUCGGCUAGAACGCGCUCGACGGUGAGGGACGAAAGCUGGGGGAGCGAACCGGAUUAGAUACCCGGGUAGUCCCAGCUGUAAACGAUGCGGGCUAGGUGUUGAGGUGGCUACGAGCCACUUCAGUGCCGCAGGGAAGCCAUUAAGCCCGCCGCCUGGGGAGUACGGUCGCAAGGCUGAAACUUAAAGGAAUUGGCGGGGGAGCACCACAAGCGUGAAGCUUGCGGUUCAAUUGGAUUCAACGCCGGG
RNAcentral lists this ribosomal RNA (911 nucleotides) under uncultured archaeon. RNAcentral describes it as "bacterial SSU rRNA". It matches the Rfam family "Archaeal small subunit ribosomal RNA", at positions 23 to 922 of the family's 1478-position model. The record is from RNAcentral.